This is a long non-coding RNA of Hippoglossus stenolepis (Pacific halibut), 1418 nucleotides long. RefSeq lists it as uncharacterized. Lineage: Eukaryota; Metazoa; Chordata; Actinopteri; Pleuronectiformes; Pleuronectidae. The transcript has 3 exons. The record is from RefSeq and is a predicted model, not a curated record.
ACGGGAAACUUCGUAGAAAGAAAACUCUGACACGUGUGAGAAGUGCGUCUGACUGAGGGUGAGAAACUGAACCCCGGUGUCCUCUCCAGGAAGCACGGGGUCAGUAUUUGAUUUGGAGGGACGCGGUGUUCUCAUCGCUCGUCCACUGUUACAUAUUCGUGCUCGGUCAUAGAGGCUCGGACUGACGUAACAGCUGGAGAAGGUGUUUUAUUUGGAAAGCUGCUCUCAAAAUCAAACAGCAGCGGCUAAAAGGGAAACUUCAGGCUCAUAAAGGGGCCUUUUUCCCCUCAGAUGUGUUUAAUUUGGGAGGUUAGUAAGGUAAGCAAGUGUAAACUCGCUACGGCGGAAAACAACCUGGACUGGAACUUUCUGCGCAGACAGACGCCGCCCUCACUUUCUGUCAAAUGUCCGUCUUUUUCUGUCUCGCUCUGCGUCUGUGUCUUUUUCCAGCCGGGGGAACAGAUUUAGAGGGAUUCUUUCUGCCUCUCCUCGGUGACAUAACAGGCGGGUUUGGAAGCCUGGAAAAACAACCUGCAGCCAUCUGUCUGCCAGCAAACAGGACGGACAAACAACACUGCACAGGAGGCAAAUACUCCGAGAAGCUCCUGAACAGUGAUUUCCUCUGUGAGCUCCGAGCUCCGGAAGGAGACUGAAGCUUACGAAAUUAAAUCUGCAAAGUCACAGCUGCUUCCUCCUUAUCCUCCACUGGCAACAAGACACCUGACAAAUCCUGUUUUCCUCCAGAGAGGGGACCCCAGGACAAAGAGUGGUUUUCAGAGACCACCAGUCACCCCUGUCACUCAGAGACAAAGAGCACAAACAAGAGGAGCAGGGAGGAGGAGGAGAAUAUUCAGGAUCAACGGAACCUGAGUCACAUGAAACUCUCCAAGUUCUAAACUUUGAGGUUUGAGACACUAAUCUGCAGGUGUGUCUGUUCCACGUCGAACCCAAAGAACAACGUGAUCCUUCCUUCCUGUCGGUGGAUUAAAACCUUUUCUAGACUUUGCCAAGCUGGCCUGAUAUUUCCCAGCAUCCUCAGCUCCGAGACCACAACCCCCCCCCUCCUCCACCUCCCUUAUUAUCCCGUCUCCUCCCUUUUGGUUCAGAGCUGCCACCUCAACAAUCAAACGUGCAGAGACACUGUGGCUCUUGAACUCGCUCACACUGCUGCCAACGCAAACUGUUUCCAACAGGUGAGAAGAAAAUCUCAGGAAAAGACGAAUGAAGAUUCUACAAGUUUUCAAAAAAUCCAGAAUAUCUAAAACUAUUUGAAUAAAUCAGUGUUUGUAAAGUUAAAGAUGCCUCCAGACAUGUUUUUUAUGAUAUAUUAGAUUUUAACUUAGCAAACAAAGCUGGAUGAGCGAGUUAGAAUAUCUUAUUUAUGCAUCUUCUCCUUCUCUCUUAUUUAAAAUAUAUCA